AGAGUUUGAUCAUGGCUCAGAGCGGACGCUGGCGGUAUGCUUAACACAUGCAAGUCGAACGGAUGUUUUCGGACAUUAGUGGCGGACGGGUGAGUAACGCGUGAGAAUCUAGCUUCAGGUUGGGGACAACAGUUGGAAACGACUGCUAAUACCGAAUGUGCCGAAAGGUGAAAGAUUUAUUGCCUGAAGAAGAGCUCGCGUCUGAUUAGCUAGUUGGUGGGGUAAGAGCUUACCAAGGCGACGAUCGGUAGCUGGUCUGAGAGGACGAUCAGCCACACUGGGACUGAGACACGGCCCAGACUCCUACGGGAGGCAGCAGUGGGGAAUUUUCCGCAAUGGGCGAAAGCCUGACGGAGCAAUACCGCGUGAGGGAAGAAGGCUCUUGGGUUGUAAACCUCUUUUCUGAGGGAAGAAAAAAAUGACGGUACCUCAGGAAUCAGCAUCGGCUAACUCCGUGCCAGCAGCCGCGGUAAUACGGAGGAUGCAAGCSUUAUCCGGAAUGAUUGGSCGUAAAGCGUCCGCAGUGGCAAUUCAAGUCUGCGGUUAAAGGUUCUGGCUCAACCAGAGACAGGCCGUGGAAACUGAAUAGCUAGAGUAUGGUAGGGGCAGAGGGAAUUCCCAGUGUAGCGGUGAAAUGCGUAGAGAUUGGGAAGAACACCGGUGGCGAAACGCUCUGCUAGGCCAAAACUGACACUGAGGGACGAAAGCUAGGGGAGCGAAUGG
This 723-nucleotide ribosomal RNA is filed under the name uncultured cyanobacterium. RNAcentral describes it as "bacterial SSU rRNA". It matches the Rfam family "Bacterial small subunit ribosomal RNA", at positions 8 to 775 of the family's 1533-position model. The record is from RNAcentral. Lineage: Bacteria; Bacillati; Cyanobacteriota.